This 331-nucleotide long non-coding RNA is filed under the name Arabidopsis lyrata. RNAcentral describes it as "long non-coding RNA (ALYR_LNC002969)". The record is from RNAcentral. Lineage: Eukaryota; Viridiplantae; Streptophyta; Magnoliopsida; Brassicales; Brassicaceae.
GCCGUUGAACAGAGUGUUGAUUGCUACUCUCGCAACCCUCACCCAUAUUUUGAUCUUCUUCUCCAGAAUCUCCCAUUCCAGUUUCUGCAUCUGCGUAGAGGUUAGCUUCUCGAACCCUAGAUGAGACAAUGCGUCGACGAUGAUCUUUUUUCGAAACUUCUUGUAGAUUUUAACACAAUCCUUCUCGUAACCAGAAGAGAUCAUGCAAUUUGCUAUCAUCUUCAGAUCCACAAUAGCUUCAGAAUUUCCUCCUCUGUCGUUACCUAAUUCCGAUGAAGAUUCGGAAUCAAGCUCUCCAUCUGAUGAAGAAUCCGAAGCGGUUCCACUUGAU